ACUAUUUUGGCAGAUAAUUGUAAUGGUUUUAGAAGUCAUAUAUAUAUAUAUAUAUAUUUAUAUAUAAGUAGUA
Molecule: transfer RNA, 73 nt
Filed under: Lelecella limenitoides
Lineage: Eukaryota; Metazoa; Arthropoda; Insecta; Lepidoptera; Nymphalidae
Description: tRNA-Leu
Source: RNAcentral